UUAUUGACCAGGAAUGCCUUCUUGAUAAAAUAAAAAUGUGGCAAAACGAGGAUCCAUCAGUAAAUAUUUUUUUUCGACCUAAAAACAACUACACAUUAAAUAACAUAGCAGACAAAAUACAUAAAAAUGAAGACAUUAAUGAAGAAGAAGAUGAUUUGAAGUUUACUGAAAAUGAUUCAGAAAAAUCACUAUUAUUUGUUUACCAAUCAGAAUGGCAAUGCUCCUUUUAGAUGCAACCUAUAAAACCACCAGAUAUGUUUUACCAAUUUUUUUUAUAGUAGUCAAAACAAAUGUUGACUACCAAAUAGUUGGAUGCUUUAUUACAGAAAAUGAAACGAAAAGAGCAAUCUAUGAGGCAUUGCAUGUUUUUAAAAAAAUGAAUCCAAACCUUUCUCCUAAAUUUUGCAUGACAGAUUACUGUAAUGAGGAAAUUGAUGCAUUGGUAGAAACUUUUCCUGGUAAGUUUUUUGAAUAGUUAGAAUUUCAAUAAAGUCUCCGUGUUUACAAUAGUUCUUUGGUUGUUAUAACAGAGGGUGCAAAAUUAUAAAAAGAAGGUGCGAAAAAGUUUUUGGUUUUUGUUUGCGCUGGGUUUAAGUUAAUUUACGCUUUUUGUUUAGAUUGUAAAGUUUUGGUCUGCGAUUUUCAUCGGGAACAGGCCUGGGAGCGUUGGUUGGUAAAAGUCUCAAAUGGUUGUGCUAAUCACAAAUCCAAUAUCCUGCUCAAACUGAGAAAAAUUGCUCAUUCAACAACUAUAAAUGCUAUGGAGUUAGCUGUAAUGGAUUUGAAACAAUCUGAUUUUUGGAAUAACGAAAACUUUUUAAAGUUAAGAAAGUAUAUAGAAACUUAUUGGUUACCUAUCAAAGAGCGUUGGGUUUGGGCAUACCGUCAAAACCGCCUACUUGUUAAUUUAAACACUAACAAUGGAGUGGAGAGGCAAAACAAAUCUUUUAAAUAUUUUUACCUCCAACGAUUUAAAAAUUAUUCAUUAACUGGAAUGCUAACAAUCUUAAUUGAAGAGUUUUUUAUAGAUAAAUAUCAAAGCUAUACUGAAAAGAACUUCAAAAUGGACUCGAGGUAUCGUCGAUACGCAAAAAUAAUACCAAAUUUUUUAAUAAAUAGGCCUCGUGCAUUGGUCAAGCAUUGCCUUCAGAAAAUCAGUUUAGCUGGAAGCAUUGAUUUAUCUAAAGUCACAAUGAUAAACCAUGGGGGUUUUUCCAUUAAAAAUAAUAAAGAAAACUACCAAAUUAAUUUUGGAAAUGAUAGAUCUAUGCCUAACUGCACAUGUCCUUCCUGGCGUUCAUCUUGCUUUCCCUGCAAGCAUUUUUUUGCCAUUUUUAGAAAGUUUCCACUCUGGCAAUGGGAUGCAUUGUCAGAACUCUAUCUUAAUUCACCAUUCUUAACAUUAGACGAUGAAGAAAAUACUUUACCUGACAAAAUAAAUUGUUUUCAAAAUAAAGAAACUUUGUAUGCAACAAAUGAAUGUGACAUUAGUUUACCAAUUUCUAAAAAUCUAGACUUGUCUGAAGAAAUAAAUGCCAAAAAAAUGUGUAAUAUUGAUUUAAAAAAAGAAAGUGUUUCUGCUGGGGACUGUAGGGAGCUCAUUAGUUUAAUUAAAAAUCAAUUGUAUGAGGUCAACAAAAGUACCAGUCUUUUUACAGAAGUAUAUAGCCUGUUACUGAAAGCGUCAAAGCUUUUACAAGAAAAUACUACCCACGAGAGUGGCAUACCUAUUAUUCAGCAACAACAUGUUAAAAACUUUAAACUUUUAGACUUGCCAAAAAAGCAUAAAAAAAAACAUAUUCUAAUCGCUGUGGAUUGGCUAAGGAUAAAAAAAUAGCUGAUGGCAAAAUAAAUGUUACAACAUUUACAUGCCAUGACGUCAAUGUGGAGGAGGAAGUAGUUAUUGAAGACAUGGAGCUAGAUGACCUUACUUCAUUUACUUCUAAUGUACCCGAUGUGUAUGUACAGUCAGAAGGAGAAUUUGAGAAAAUGUUAGUAAUAAAAGACAACAUUGAAGAUUCCUCCUAUAUUUUAAAUUCUUGUUUUGAUAUUCCCAGACAUUACUUUGAAGCGAUUGGUAGCAAUGAAAUGCUAACUGACAACAUCAUUAAUGCUGCACAAAAAAUGUUGCUAUGUCAGUACCCUAAUGCUAAAGGUUUACAAGACCCCAUUCUUGGCCAAAACCUCAGUUUUAGCAUUCUAAAAGAUGAAGAGUUUGUUCAAGUGUUGCAUGAUGGGUGUGCUCAUUGGUUUGCGAUUAGCACAGUAAACUGUUUAUCAGGGCAUGUUUUUGUAAUGGAUAGUUAUUUUAGAGGUAAACUUAGCCAUGCCACAAUGAGACAAAUAUGUUCAAUAAUUCGUUGCCCAUUAAGUAAAAUUAAAGUUACAGUUUUACCAGUUCAACAACAGACAAAUGGUAUUGACUGUGGCAUCUAUGCAAUUGCUUUUGUACAAUACCUGUUACAUUUUAAGGACUAUCCCACAAAUGUGAAUUUUGAUCAAACAAAACUGAGAACCGAGCUGCUUAACUCUUUUAAAAACAACUAUUUAAGUUUGUUUUCAACCACAACAAACAAUGUCAGACGAAAUGUUGAAAAGGAGAUAUAUUUAGAUUUAUACUGCACUUGCAGAAUGAUUUGGGUCCCAUCAGAUAAAAAUAUAUUUGGAAGGCACAUGGUAGAAUGUUCAGGAUGUUUGCAGUGGUUUCACAGAAUGUGCGAAAUAAUUUCAGAUAAUGUUCUUAAUGAUGACAAUAUCAACUGGCAUUGUUCAACUUGUGAUAAAAUAAAAUAAUGAUACUU
Molecule: non-coding RNA, 2801 nt
Organism: Hydra vulgaris (swiftwater hydra)
Lineage: Eukaryota; Metazoa; Cnidaria; Hydrozoa; Anthoathecata; Hydridae
Source: RefSeq, a predicted model, not a curated record